AGCGAACGCUGGCGGCAGGCCUAACACAUGCAAGUCGAACGGACCCUUCGGGGUUAGUGGCGGACGGGUGAGUAACACGUGGGAACGUGCCCUUUGGUACGGAACAACUCAGGGAAACUUGAGCUAAUACCGUAUAAGCCCUACUGGGGAAAGAUUUAUCGCCAUUGGAGCGGCCCGCGUCUGAUUAGCUAGUUGGUGAGGUAAAGGCUCACCAAGGCUACGAUCAGUAGCUGGUCUGAGAGGANGAUCAGCCACAUUGGGACUGAGACACGGCCCAAACUCCUACGGGAGGCAGCAGUGGGGAAUCUUGCGCAAUGGGCGAAAGCCUGACGCAGCCAUGCCGCGUGAAUGAUGAAGGUCUUAGGAUUGUAAAAUUCUUUCACCGGGACGAUAAUGACGGUACCCGGAGAAGAAGCUCCGGCUAACUUCGUGCCAGCAGCCGCAGUAAC
RNAcentral lists this ribosomal RNA (449 nucleotides) under uncultured bacterium. RNAcentral describes it as "bacterial SSU rRNA". It matches the Rfam family "Bacterial small subunit ribosomal RNA", at positions 29 to 524 of the family's 1533-position model. The record is from RNAcentral.